AGAAUGAACGCUGGCGGCGCGCCUAAUACAUGCAAGUCGAGCGAGAAGACGUAGCAAUACGUUUGUAAAGCGGCGAACGGGUGAGGAAUACAUGGGUAACCUACCCUCGAGUGGGGAAUAACUAGCCGAAAGGUUAGCUAAUACCGCGUACGCUCCUUGGACUUCGGUUCAGGGAGGAAAGCGAUACCGUGGGUAUCGCGCUCUUGGAUGGGCUCAUGUCCUAUCAGCUUGUUGGUGAGGUAACGGCUCACCAAGGCUUCGACGGUAGCUGGUCUGAGAGGACGAUCAGCCACACUGGCACUGCGACGCGGGCCAGACUCCUACGGGAGCAGCAGUAAGGAAUAUUGCGCAAUGGGACGAAAGCCUGACGCAGCGACGCCGCGUGGGGGAUGAGGUCUUCGGAUUUGUAAACCCCCGUUUCGGGAGGGAAGAGUAGGAACGAGACAAUCGUCGGACGUACCGUCCAGAAGCAGCCACGGACUAACGUUCGUGCCAGCAGCCG
RNAcentral lists this ribosomal RNA (502 nucleotides) under uncultured soil bacterium. Its description in RNAcentral is "bacterial SSU rRNA". It matches the Rfam family "Bacterial small subunit ribosomal RNA", at positions 26 to 517 of the family's 1533-position model. The record is from RNAcentral.